GAUGAACGCUGGCGGCGUGCCUAAUACAUGCCAGUCGAGCGAACGGACGAGAAGCUUGCUUCUCUGAUGUUAGCGGCGGACGGGUGAGUAACACGUGGAUAACCUACCUAUAAGACUGGGAUAACUUCGGGAAACCGGAGCUAAUACCGGAUAAUAUUUUGAACCUCAUGGUUCAAAAGUGAAAGACGGUCUUGCUGUCACUUAUAGAUGGAUCCGCGCUGCAUUAGCUAGUUGGUAAGGUAACGGCUUACCAAGGCAACGAUGCAUAGCCGACCUGAGAGGGUGAUCGGCCACACUGGAACUGAGACACGGUCCAGACUCCUACGGGAGGCAGCAGUAGGGAAUCUUCCGCAAUGGGCGAAAGCCUGACGGAGCAACGCCGCGUGAGUGAUGAAGGUCUUCGGAUCGUAAAACUCUGUUAUUAGGGAAGAACAUAUGUGUAAGUAACUGUGCACAUCUUGACGGUACCUAAUCAGAAAGCCACGGCUAACUACGUG
This 497-nucleotide ribosomal RNA is filed under the name uncultured bacterium. RNAcentral's name for it is "partial 16S ribosomal RNA". It matches the Rfam family "Bacterial small subunit ribosomal RNA", at positions 28 to 507 of the family's 1533-position model. The record is from RNAcentral.